CCCCUCGUAGCUAAGCGGGUAAAGAACCUGCCUGCAAUGCAGGAGACCUGGGUUUCAUCCCUGGGUCGGGA
Ovis aries (sheep) is the source of this 71-nucleotide transfer RNA. It matches the Rfam family "tRNA". Rfam says of the family: Transfer RNA (tRNA) molecules are approximately 80 nucleotides in length. Their secondary structure includes four short double-helical elements and three loops (D, anti-codon, and T loops). Lineage: Eukaryota; Metazoa; Chordata; Mammalia; Artiodactyla; Bovidae. The record is from Rfam.